UAAUAAGUGUUUUAUGGCACUUUUUAAAUCCAUAUCCACCUUGUGUGCAAUGUCAGUCGAUCUUUUUCAUGGAGAUCGACCAAACAUCAACCUUUAUUUUUUAACUCUUUGUCUGAAAAAUAUUAUGAAUAAACAAUUCAAAAUA
This 145-nucleotide unclassified non-coding RNA is filed under the name soil metagenome. RNAcentral describes it as "partial internal transcribed spacer 1". The record is from RNAcentral.